Molecule: transfer RNA, 84 nt
Filed under: bacterium
Lineage: Bacteria
Description: tRNA-Leu
Rfam family: tRNA
About the family: Transfer RNA (tRNA) molecules are approximately 80 nucleotides in length. Their secondary structure includes four short double-helical elements and three loops (D, anti-codon, and T loops).
Source: RNAcentral
GCGGAAGUGGCGGAACUGGCAGACGCACUGGAUUCAGGGUCCAGUUCCAUUAUAGGAGUGGGGGUUCAACUCCCCCCUUCCGCA